AUUGAACGCUGGCGGCAUGCUUUACACAUGCAAGUCGAACGGCAGCACGGGUGCUUGCACCUGGUGGCGAGUGGCGAACGGGUGAGUAAUAUAUCGGAACGUACCCAGUAGAGGGGGAUAACUAGCCGAAAGGUUGGCUAAUACCGCAUACGAUCUACGGAUGAAAGCGGGGGACCGUAAGGCCUCGCGCUAUUGGAGCGGCCGAUAGCUGAUUAGCUUGUUGGUGGGGUAAAGGCCUACCAAGGCAACGAUCAGUAGCUGGUCUGAGAGGACGAUCAGCCACACUGGGACUGAGAACGGCCCAGACUCCUACGGGAGGCAGCAGUGGGGAAUUUUGGACAAUGGGGGAAACCCUGAUCCAGCAAUGCCGCGUGAGUGAAGAAGGCCUUCGGGUUGUAAAGCUCUUUUGUCAGGGAAGAAAAGGCGAAGGUUAAUACCCUUUGCUGCUGACGGUACCUGAAGAAUAAGCACCGGCUAACUACGUGCCAGCCGCCGCAGUAACAC
RNAcentral lists this ribosomal RNA (504 nucleotides) under uncultured bacterium. RNAcentral describes it as "bacterial SSU rRNA". It matches the Rfam family "Bacterial small subunit ribosomal RNA", at positions 30 to 526 of the family's 1533-position model. The record is from RNAcentral.